CAACUUUCAGCAAUGGAUCUCUUGGCUCUCGCAUCGAUGAAGAACGCAGCGAAUUGCGAUAUGUAAUGUGAAUUGCAGAUCUACAGUGAAUCAUCGAAUCUUUGAACGCACAUUGCGCUCCUCGGUGUUCCGAGGAGCAUGCCUGUUUGAGUGUCAGUAAUUUCU
RNAcentral lists this ribosomal RNA (165 nucleotides) under Chroogomphus purpurascens. RNAcentral describes it as "5.8S ribosomal RNA". It matches the Rfam family "5.8S ribosomal RNA". From Rfam's summary of the family: 5.8S ribosomal RNA (5.8S rRNA) is a component of the large subunit of the eukaryotic ribosome. It is transcribed by RNA polymerase I as part of the 45S precursor that also contains 18S and 28S rRNA. The record is from RNAcentral. Lineage: Eukaryota; Fungi; Basidiomycota; Agaricomycetes; Boletales; Gomphidiaceae.